RNAcentral lists this ribosomal RNA (125 nucleotides) under Hyphoderma sp. RNAcentral describes it as "partial small subunit ribosomal RNA". It matches the Rfam family "Eukaryotic small subunit ribosomal RNA", at positions 1657 to 1779 of the family's 1831-position model. Lineage: Eukaryota; Fungi; Basidiomycota; Agaricomycetes; Polyporales; Hyphodermataceae. The record is from RNAcentral.
CCUUUGUACACACCGCCCGUCGCUACUACCGAUUGAAUGGCUUAGUGAGGCCUUCGGAUUGGCUUCGAGGAGCCGGCAACGGCACUUCUUAGCUGAGAAGUUGGUCAAACUUGGUCAUUUAGAGG